RNAcentral lists this long non-coding RNA (866 nucleotides) under Rattus norvegicus (Norway rat). RNAcentral's name for it is "long non-coding RNA NONRATT024718". The record is from RNAcentral. Lineage: Eukaryota; Metazoa; Chordata; Mammalia; Rodentia; Muridae.
CUUCCUGUGCAAGCUUGCUCUGCCUGUGGUGGUGGUGGGGGACUGGGGCUCAUGACUGUCAAUAUCCAGUGGGAACAGGUGCCAGCUUUGUUCCCAAGUUGAAGCUGCCUGAGCCAGAAGAGCAAUUUGGCCUUGUGUCACCCCAGCCUGGCCCUGCCCCAGACACUGACCAGUCCCGCAGUGCCCUGACCCAGUGCAGAGGCCUUGAAGUCUGUCGGCAGGUGGUCUCUCCCCCCUUAAAGCCCGGCUUUGGUCAGGGGUGAUGGCAGCGAGGACUGCUGUCUGCUGUGGUGCGCCAAGCCCCGGGCAGACCGCCAAGAUCUCAGUGUUGAUGCCGCACUAUGUACAGUCGGAGGAGGUGGGCUGUGGAAAAUGGCGUCUGAAUGAUGAGACCCGAAUUCUUCAAAAUCAAGCCCACUUAACAGGUGAAAGUUCCUGUGAUCUGAUUCCUCUGAGCAAAGAAACUAGGAGAGGCACCGCCCUCAGAAAAGCCGUCGACGCUGUCAUCUUUUGCUAAUAGCCCAGGAUGAAGAAACAAGGAGGGGUUAACUACCCUCAUGGUAAGGCAUGACAAACUGCACCCGUGAAACAAGACAGGAAAUAAUUGCAAUGGGCUCCUCAACCAGAGGUGGGCAAGGAGCUCUCACCCCCGUGGCUCAAUGUGCGUGGGGCAGGUGUGGCUAUAGGUAGGUGGCAGUUCUUUGCUGGCAGGACUGUACCUGUACUUGAUGUGCUGGGCCCAUCAAGAAGCACAGCUUUGGAUGGGUGAAGAGGUUGGGGGUCACUGGGGACGAGACAGGAUAGAGGGCAGAAGGCAGAGGGUAACCAUUGCUGUGAUAAACACUGAGUAAAAGCAACUUGAGAAC